AUGGGAUUAGAGGUGCUGGGGGAAGGAGGGAGGAAGAAGGGAUAGAAUUGGAUCUGUUAAUCCACUUUGGAUAAAUUCAACAGCUUACCCUUAUAUUUGAAAUAUUUAUUUAGCAUUGAGCAGCUCAGUGGUGCCAGUGACUUUGAAGGAAUGAGAGAAGCUCUGAGUCUCCAAAUUGAGAUGGGCUGAGAGCCAAAUCUGGAAAAUCCUUUCAUGGGAGAAAUUCAAUCUCUCCACUAUUUCCUUUUGUUAGGAUUCUGGAUGUCUCCCUUGUUAUAAAAGGAGAGGGCUAAACCAAAUACAACUGAAAAAUGAUGCAACAAAAUGACCUUAUCACCAAAUGAGAGCAUCGCAGGGCACUCCAUGGUUUCUUUUCCUCAGAUGCUGUGCUUCACCAGGGCUUUUAGACGAUUUUAGAAAGCUGUUUUAGAGAACCUUCCUUCUGUGACCAGCUGUAAUAAGGGUUGGGUUGUGCACGCAAGUGCACAUGAUAGACCAAAGAGAGUAGGGAUUUUGACUGGAUGCUGUCUGAAGUCACAAAUUUGAGUUAUGUAUAUAAGUUAAGUUUUUUGCAGCCACAA
This 581-nucleotide long non-coding RNA is filed under the name Homo sapiens (human). RNAcentral describes it as "HSALNT0346131". Lineage: Eukaryota; Metazoa; Chordata; Mammalia; Primates; Hominidae. The record is from RNAcentral.